CUCUUUUUUUUGGUUUUGGGGUUUUCUGUCAGUCACCCCUCUUGGAGUUUUGUCAGGAGAUCUCUCAGUGCAGUCUGAGGGGGAGGAGUGUUGGAGCUUGAGCUUCCCUGUCCUCUGGAAGCUUUGAUUGGAUUAAAGUCCAGCAUUCUGUGGGGGAGGGGUUGGAAUAUUGAGGUUCCCUGACUUCUGAAGACUUUUGAUGGCAUUAAGUUCAGCUGGGUUGGGCUGGAUGUGUCCUGAGGCCAAAAUAUCCUGGAAAGUUGGAGCAAUUUGCAGGGCCUCCGCCACUGGGACCAGGCUGCCCCCUCUGUGCUCCCUCUCCACAUCCUUCCCCACCACCUGUGUUUGAUGCUCUGAGCCUGACACAGCCCUGCCCUCAAGAGUUGGAAGUAAUGAGGCAAGAAUGAGUUCUACAUAAUAUCCUGUGUGCAUUAAUAAACAUGCUCAUUUCGCCAAAUUUUCAUGACGCUUGCCAUCAAUACCACACCAUUUGGAAGCUGCACCAGCACAGUGCCUAGCAAAUAUUGACUCAAAUUCUGACAGUGGAAUAUUCUACAAGGUCAAUAAAUAUUUGAAGGAAAAAUGA
Long non-coding RNA from Monodelphis domestica (gray short-tailed opossum), 586 nucleotides. RefSeq lists it as uncharacterized. Lineage: Eukaryota; Metazoa; Chordata; Mammalia; Didelphimorphia; Didelphidae. The record is from RefSeq and is a predicted model, not a curated record.